This 594-nucleotide ribosomal RNA is filed under the name Loigolactobacillus coryniformis subsp. torquens. Its description in RNAcentral is "bacterial SSU rRNA". It matches the Rfam family "Bacterial small subunit ribosomal RNA", at positions 244 to 830 of the family's 1533-position model. The record is from RNAcentral. Lineage: Bacteria; Bacillati; Bacillota; Bacilli; Lactobacillales; Lactobacillaceae.
GUUAGUUGGUAAGGUAACGGCUUACCAAGACAAUGAUACGUAGCCGACCUGAGAGGGUAAUCGGCCACAUUGGGACUGAGACACGGCCCAAACUCCUACGGGAGGCAGCAGUAGGGAAUCUUCCACAAUGGACGAAAGUCUGAUGGAGCAACGCCGCGUGAGUGAAGAAGGUUUUAGGAUCGUAAAACUCUGUUGUUGGAGAAGAACAGGGACUAGAGUAACUGUUAGUCCUUUGACGGUAUCCAACCAGAAAGCCACGGCUAACUACGUGCCAGCAGCCGCGGUAAUACGUAGGUGGCAAGCGUUGUCCGGAUUUAUUGGGCGUAAAGCGAGCGCAGGCGGUUUUUUAAGUCUGAUGUGAAAGCCUUCGGCUUAACCGAAGAAGUGCAUUAGAAACUGGGAAACUUGAGUGCAGAAGAGGACAGUGGAACUCCAUGUGUAGCGGUGAAAUGCGUAGAUAUAUGGAAGAACACCAGUGGCGAAGGCGGCUGUCUGGUCUGUAACUGACGCUGAGGCUCGAAAGUAUGGGGAGCGAACAGGAUUAGAUACCCUGGUAGUCCAUACCGUAAACGAUGAAUGCUAAGUGUUGGAGGG